GCCCCAGUGGCGCAAUGGAUAGCGCGUCGGACUUCUAAUCCGGAGGCUGAGGGUUCGAGUCCCUCCUGGGGUA
Molecule: non-coding RNA, 73 nt
Organism: Macrostomum lignano
Lineage: Eukaryota; Metazoa; Platyhelminthes; Macrostomidae
Source: Rfam